This 468-nucleotide ribosomal RNA is filed under the name uncultured bacterium. RNAcentral's name for it is "partial 16S ribosomal RNA". It matches the Rfam family "Bacterial small subunit ribosomal RNA", at positions 28 to 507 of the family's 1533-position model. The record is from RNAcentral.
GACGAACGCUGGCGGCGUGCUUAACACAUGCAAGUCGAACGGAAAGGCCCUGCUUUUGUGGGGUGCUCGAGUGGCGAACGGGUGAGUAACACGUGAGUAACCUGCCCUUGACUUUGGGAUAACUUCAGGAAACUGGGGCUAAUACCGGAUAGGAGCUCCUGCUGCAUGGUGGGGGUUGGAAAGUUUCGGCGGUUGGGGAUGGACUCGCGGCUUAUCAGCUUGUUGGUGGGGUAGUGGCUUACCAAGGCUUUGACGGGUGGCCGGCCUGAGAGGGUGACCGGCCACAUUGGGACUGAGAUACGGCCCAGACUCCUACGGGAGGCAGCAGUGGGGAAUAUUGCACAAUGGGCGGAAGCCUGAUGCAGCAACGCCGCGUGCGGGAUGACGGCCUUCGGGUUGUAAACCGCUUUCACCUGUGACGAAGCGUGAGUGACGGUAAUGGGUAAAGAAGCACCGGCUAACUACGUG